This 171-nucleotide ribosomal RNA is filed under the name uncultured Fusobacterium sp. RNAcentral's name for it is "partial 16S ribosomal RNA". It matches the Rfam family "Bacterial small subunit ribosomal RNA", at positions 340 to 524 of the family's 1533-position model. The record is from RNAcentral. Lineage: Bacteria; Fusobacteriati; Fusobacteriota; Fusobacteriia; Fusobacteriales; Fusobacteriaceae.
UACGGGAGGCAGCAGUGGGGAAUAUUGGACAAUGGACCAAAAGUCUGAUCCAGCAAUUCUGUGUGCACGAUGACGUUUUUCGGAAUGUAAAGUGCUUUCAGUUGGGAAGAAAAAAAUGACGGUACCAACAGAAGAAGUGACGGCUAAAUACGUGCCAGCAGCCGCGGUAAU